Long non-coding RNA from Haliotis rubra (blacklip abalone), 131 nucleotides. RefSeq lists it as uncharacterized. The transcript is spliced from 3 exons. Lineage: Eukaryota; Metazoa; Mollusca; Gastropoda; Lepetellida; Haliotidae. The record is from RefSeq and is a predicted model, not a curated record.
UUGGCCCUUGAAUACAUGUUAUAUAUACACAAAGAACUUAGUUUAGCACCACCUGACAUAUCUCACAAUGAAAUGAGCCCCGAUCUUAACCCUUUGCAGCAUAUCUGGGACAUGAUUGGACGUCGUGUGCA